RNAcentral lists this ribosomal RNA (520 nucleotides) under uncultured Glomus. Its description in RNAcentral is "SSU rRNA". It matches the Rfam family "Eukaryotic small subunit ribosomal RNA", at positions 569 to 1093 of the family's 1831-position model. The record is from RNAcentral. Lineage: Eukaryota; Fungi; Glomeromycota; Glomeromycetes; Glomerales; Glomeraceae.
AGCAGCCGCGGUAAUUCCAGCUCCAAUAGCGUAUAUUAAAGUUGUUGCAGUUAAAAAGCUCGUAGUUGAAUUUCGGGGUUAGUAGGUUGGUCAUGCCUCUGGUAUGUACUGGUCUCACUGAUUCCUCCUUCCUGAUGAGCCGUAAUGCCAUUAAUUUGGUGUUGCGGGGAAUUUGGACUGUUACUUUGAAAAAUUAGAGUGUUUAAAGCAGGCUCACGCUUGAAUACAUUAGCAUGGAAUAAUGAAAUAGGACGUUUGAUUCUAUUUUGUUGGUUUCUAGGAUCGACGUAAUGAUUAAUAGGGAUAGUUGGGGGCAUUAGUAUUCAAUUGUCAGAGGUGAAAUUCUUGGAUUUAUUGAAGACUAACUACUGCGAAAGCAUUUGCCAAGGAUGUUUUCAUUAAUCAAGAACGAAAGUUAGGGGAUCGAAGACGAUCAGAUACCGUCGUAGUCUUAACCAUAAACUAUGCCGACUAGGGAUCGGAUGAUGUUAAUUUUUAAUGACUCAUUCGCGCCUUACGG